This 73-nucleotide transfer RNA is filed under the name Myxococcales bacterium. RNAcentral describes it as "tRNA-Ala". It matches the Rfam family "tRNA". Rfam says of the family: Transfer RNA (tRNA) molecules are approximately 80 nucleotides in length. Their secondary structure includes four short double-helical elements and three loops (D, anti-codon, and T loops). Further hydrogen bonds mediate the characteristic L-shaped molecular structure. tRNAs have two regions of fundamental functional importance: the anti-codon, which is responsible for specific mRNA codon recognition, and the 3' end, to which the tRNAs corresponding amino acid is attached (by aminoacyl-tRNA synthetases). tRNAs cope with the degeneracy of the genetic code in two manners: having more than one tRNA (with a specific anti-codon) for a particular amino acid; and 'wobble' base-pairing, i.e. permitting non-standard base-pairing at the 3rd anti-codon position. Lineage: Bacteria; Pseudomonadati; Myxococcota; Myxococcia; Myxococcales. The record is from RNAcentral.
GGGGGUGUAGCUCAGUUGGGAGAGCGCAUGAAUGGCAUUCAUGAGGUCGUCGGUUCGAUCCCGAUCACCUCCA